This 492-nucleotide long non-coding RNA is filed under the name Triticum aestivum (bread wheat). RNAcentral describes it as "long non-coding RNA (TAES_LNC027730)". The stretch from base 105 to 229 matches the Rfam family "MIR1120/MIR1122 microRNA precursor family". The record is from RNAcentral. Lineage: Eukaryota; Viridiplantae; Streptophyta; Magnoliopsida; Poales; Poaceae.
UCCGUCCACCGGAUCGAUCCAGUACCGUAUCCAUUCAUUUUAGUUUGUCGUUUUUACCUUUCCGAACAUCUGAGUUUGUCGUUCGUUCAAUCAGCUGCUAUUGUAUACUACCUGCUUCAUCUGAAAAUACUUGUCUUUGAAAUAAAUGUAUCUAGAUGUAUUUUAAUUCUAAAUGCAUUCAUUUUUAUCCAUUUAUGCGACAAGUAAUUUCAGAUGGAGCGAGUACGCCCGAAGAACACAUCUGUGUGUUUGUGCGGCUUGGCAUGCAUGUAUCUUUAUUUUUCGUAUUCUGAGUACUUUGUCAAAGUAACUUUUACCAGACAAUUUGUUGGAGAACCUUUGUUGUACCUGUGUUUGUUUCUAGAGAUAGCUAUUCAGCCUAUGGAUUUCUGUUUCCGACAUUAUACAUUUCUGUUUCCGUAUUCUGAGUACUCUGUAAAAGUACCUUCUGCCGAACAAUUUGUCAGAGAAUCUUUGUUCUACCUGUGUUUG